AGUGAACGCUGGCGGUAGGCCUAACACAUGCAAGUCGAACGGCAGCACAGUAAGAGCUUGCUCUUACGGGUGGCGAGUGGCGGACGGGUGAGGAAUACAUCGGAAUCUACUUUUUCGUGGGGGAUAACGUAGGGAAACUUACGCUAAUACCGCAUACGACCUACGGGUGAAAGCAGGGGAUCUUCGGACCUUGCGCGAUUGAAUGAGCCGAAGUCGGAUUAGCUAGUUGGCGGGGUAAAGGCCCACCAAGGCGACGAUCCGUAGCUGGUCUGAGAGGAUGAUCAGCCACACUGGAACUGAGACACGGUCCAGACUCCUACGGGAGGCAGCAGUGGGGAAUAUUGGACAAUGGGCGCGAGCCUGAUCCAGCCAUACCGCGUGGGUGAAGAAGGCCUUCGGGUUGUAAAGCCCUUUUGUUGGGAAAGAAAAGCAGCAGGUUAAUACCCCGCUGUUCUGACGGUACCCAAAGAAUAAGCACCGGCUAACUUCGUG
RNAcentral lists this ribosomal RNA (492 nucleotides) under uncultured bacterium. RNAcentral describes it as "partial 16S ribosomal RNA". It matches the Rfam family "Bacterial small subunit ribosomal RNA", at positions 29 to 507 of the family's 1533-position model. The record is from RNAcentral.